RNAcentral lists this transfer RNA (85 nucleotides) under Halalkalibacter krulwichiae. Its description in RNAcentral is "Bacillus krulwichiae tRNA-Leu". It matches the Rfam family "tRNA". From Rfam's summary of the family: Transfer RNA (tRNA) molecules are approximately 80 nucleotides in length. Their secondary structure includes four short double-helical elements and three loops (D, anti-codon, and T loops). Lineage: Bacteria; Bacillati; Bacillota; Bacilli; Caryophanales; Bacillaceae. The record is from RNAcentral.
UGCGGUUGUGGCGGAAUGGCAGACGCGCUAGGUUGAGGGCCUAGUGGGGGCAACCCCGUGGAGGUUCGAGUCCUCUCAACCGCAU